AACAACAAUGCAGAGAUUAGUAACAAUAGCAGACACGCAACUAUCAUUUAUUGGUAUCAGCGAAGGGUGUCAUCCAUGAUUAUUAUUAGCCACCAAUCCCAACCACCAAAAAAACUUUUACCUAGAACAAUCUUUGGUUUGUCAUAUAUAAAAUAAUUCUACGCAACGUGUCUAAAUUUUGUUCUUAAUCCAUUCGACAAUAAAUAAUACCUAGAUUGCAUCAGACCUAAGUAAAAGAAAUUGGAGGGGAGAGGGAGUACAAUCAGCUACAUGAACACCCAAGAAACUUGCAGCCAACUGAAUCUUUGGCUGCUGGAAAGGUGAAUCAACAACCCACACCAAGAUCUGUACCUGCAAAGCCGAUAGUGCGUCAACAACUAAAUCCAGAGUUAGCCACAAUUAUGUCAUAAUAGAAACUAUACAUUUACCCCACAAUCCAAUUAUUGAUGUGAAAUUGAAGAGAAGAAACCCCUAGAUCCUAAACCCACCCUUUCUGAAUAUUUUGUAUAUCUCGUUUGACAGAGUAUGCCAUGCUCACUGUGUUUUUGUAAUCAGUACAUAACUAUAAGCCUAUAGCCAUGUGCAUAUCAAUGAGCAGAAAAAAAAAACAUGGGCACAUGCCUAAGCAUCAAUAUAAAAGAACAUAUAAAAUGCCAUUAGAUAAGAACAGAAGCUCAAGUCUUUUGUUUUAAAAGGAAACAUGAAGCAUCUGGCAUAAGUUUCCAAUUAAAGAUAAAAAUAGAACAUCAAACAUGACACUCCAAUUACUAUUUUUGUAAGAAUGUUGGACCAUGGCAACAGAAUGCACACAUCCAAACAGAGUAUAUAUACUACCAAUUACCAUGUAUAAAGUGGCAACAAUGUGAUAUGAGGAAGAACUAAAUAGUACUCAAUUCCAUUAGAUUAUAUUGCUUACACUAAGCAGAAAAAACAGUUAACUGGGAUCAUGCUUUCUACUCCUCCCGUCUCAUAAUAUAAGACGUCUUAUAUUAUGGAACGGAGGGAGUACUUCACAAUGAUAUAACCUAGGGGGUUUACUGAAAACAAAUCAGUAAUAGUAAAUAGGAACAAAAAUAAUAAAAAAGUAUUUGGUGCAUAAGAGUUAGCUAUUACCUUUAUUGGCCGACAAAAUUAGCAUUUAUAUAUUUUGGCUAUUAAGAUCACCUACUGGAAGAAUUCACCAUGUGUUAUUCUUUCAGCCCAUCCAAUACCAUAGGUAAACAUUUCAACUGAAAAAAGUAGCGUAGGUAAACAUUUCAAUUGAAAAAUAGUCUUUCAGGCCACACUCCCAAUCUGCAAAGACGAAAUCUAACUUGACAUUUCAGAGAGAGAGAGAGGGAGUUGUACCUGUAGCUAGCCUUGUAUGGAUCUGUUGAACAACCCAAAACCCGUCACCGCCAAUCACUUGAAUCCAGGUUUGUGGGCAUUGUUUCAUAGCCGCAUAAUUUCUGAGUAGCAUAAAGGUCAGGUGAGACCUCAGAUCAAAUGAAAUGGAUAAUCUAUUGAACAUAAUCAGAAGUUUGUAUGUUGUUGUUAGGUUAUUUUUCUCCAUAAAAACACAGAAUAGGCAUACAAUGGAUAAACACCGACUGGCCAAAGGCAGAUAUAGAAAAGCAUAUGCACAUAGGAACCAGAUCCAACUUAAUAUGUAUGAUCAUUCACAGUAGGUCCAUAACACAAACCAUUACUUGUCUUGAAUCUCAUAAUACAUCAACCUUUUAUUAGAUAUACUUAUUAUCUAAUAUGCCUAAAAGGCUAAAACAUGCUGAUGGCUAGCAUAUAGUUUGUUCUACAGGAUGGUCUAACCAAAAGACGUUACAGUGUGAUGCAGUCAAUGUAAAUUUUGAUCCAACACCACCAUUUAAACAACAAUGAUUGGCCUCAAUGAAGGUAGUGAAUCCCUCAAACUUAUUGGGGGGUCCUAUUUCAGUAAUCUAACCAUAAAUGGAUCCAAAAAGAAAAGGAAUAUUGGUUCGAAGUAAAAAGAAUAGAGACACAUGCAACUUCUAGUUUGUUGGCUAGCAUUUUAGCAAUCAAGAAAAUGCGAAAAUGUGGAGGAGAAAAUUUUAAAUUCCUCGUGGUAUAAUUCAAAAACAAAGAAUCUCAACAAAAAGUGAAUGGACACAUAGGAUUUUGCGUAUGUGAUCCAUAUGAAAUAAAGCUGAACCAAGAUUGCAUAAUUCUACAUCGGCAACAAUAGGCAUUAACUUAGAGCUCUAAAGGAAGGAUAGAAGCCGAAUAAUUAGAGCAAGGGAUCAAACCUAUCAAACACAAGCAUCUAUUUCUUAUCGUAAUCCACAUAUGCAUCACACAUAAACAAUUUGCAUAAAUAUUACUGCUGGAAACUAAAUCAAGCUAGACAGGUGACAUAUGUAGAUUUCACAGUAGAGGCGUAGAAGUAUUGGAAAUAUGCCCUAAAGGCAAUAAUAAAAGGAUUAUUAUUAUAUUUCCUUGUUCAUGAUAAUUGUCUUUUAUUCAUGCUAUAAUUGUAUUAUCCGGAAAUCGUAAUACACGUGUGAAUACAUAGACCACAACAUGUCCCUAGUGAGCCUCUAGUUGACUAUUCGUUGAUCAACAGAUAGUCAUGGUUUCCUGACUAUGGACAUUGGAUGUCAUUGAUAACGGGAUCACAUCAUUAGGAGAAUGAUGUGAUGGACAAGACCCAAUCCUAAGCAUAGCACAAGAUCGUGUAGUUCGUUUGCUAGAGCUUUCCAAUGUCAAGUAUCUUUUCCUUAGACCAUGAGAUCGUGUAACUCCCGGAUACCGUAGGAGAGCUUUGGGUGUACCAAAGGUCACAACGUAACUGGGUGACUACAAAGGUAUACUACGGGUAUCUCCGAAAGUGUCUGUUGGGUUGACACGGAUCGAGACUAGGAUUUGUCACUCCGUAUGACGGAGAGGUAUCUCUGGGCCCACUCGGUAAUGCAUCAUCAUAAUGAGCUCAAAGUGACCAAGUGUCUGGUCACGGGUCAUGCAUUACGGUACGAGUAAAAUGACUUGCCGGUAACGAGAUUGAACGAGGUAUUGGGAUACCGACGAUCGAAUCUCGGGCAAGUAACGUACCGAUUGACAAAGGGAAUUGUAUACGGAGUUGCUUGAAUCCUCGACAUCGUGGUUCAUCCGAUGAGAUCAUCGAGGAGCAUGUGGGAGCCAACAUGGGUAUCCAGAUCCCGCUGUUGGUUAUUGACCGGAGAACCGUCUCGGUCAUGUCUACGUGUCUCCCGAACCCGUAGGGUCUACACACUUAAGGUUCGGUGACGUUACAGUUGUGAAGAUAUAAGUAUGCAGCAAACCGAAAGUUGUUUGGAGUCCCGAAUGAGAUCUCGGACGUCACGAGGAGUUCCGGAAUGAUCCGGAGGUAAAGAAUUAUAUAUGGAAAGUCGAGUUUCGGCCAUCGGGAAAGUUUCGGGGGUCACCGGUUUUGUACCGGGACCACCAGAAGAGUCCCAGAGGUCCACCGGGUGGGGCCACCUAUCUCGGAGGGGCCCGUGGGCUGAAGUGGGAGGGGAACCAGCCCCUGGUGGGCUGGUGCGCCCCCCUGCCCCCCUCUGCGCCUAGGGUUGGGAACCCUAGGGGAGGGGGCGCCUCCACUUGCCUUAGGGGGCAAGUUUCCCCCCCUUCCCCUUGCUACACCUCUUCCUCCCGCAGACGCUUGGCGAAGCCCUGCCGGAUCCCUGCUGCAUCCUCAUCAACCUCUCCUUCCCCUUUGCUGGAUCAAGAAGGAGGAGACGUCACGCUGACCGUACGUGUGUUGAACGCGGAGGUGCCGUCCGUUCGGCGCUAGAAUCUCCGGUGAUUUGGAUCACGACGAGUACGACUCCCUCAACCCCGUUCUCUUGAACGCUUCCGCUCGCGAUCUACAAGGGUAUGUAGAUGCACCCCUCUUUCUCGUUGCUAGAUGAACUCAUAGAUUGAUCUUGAUGAACGUAGGAAAAAAUUUAUUUUAUGCAACAUUCCCCAACAAGAAGACCAAGAGGAGCAUACCCAUCUUCUCCUCCUUCCCACCAGCAGCUCUCGAGGAUUACAACCCUGCCCCUCGGUUGUGAAAGAGGACUCAAAAAGGUAGAGCUGCAAUUAAGAGGAAUAAAACAUUUUUUGUGGCACCAUAAAGCUGGAGUGAUACUAAUUUCAGAAAUAUCUUUGUCAGCAAUACUACUAUGUAACAAAAACCCACACAACAAUCAUGCUAAUAGAGCACCAACAGAAUCUCUUAUAUCAUUUCAAGGAAUAAUCAUAAAGGACAUAUGAAACCAGUGCUUUAAAUUUACAUGCUUGAUAAAGAAAAUAGUAGAAUAGGUAUAUAUAAACAAACGAUCCAUCCAUGUUCUCAUCAUUUUUCCUGAAAUCCAAAGUGGUACUUGCCAUCUGCUACAGAACUUGCAUAAAGAAAACUACAGAGUAGGUACAUGAUACGAAGCUAGCACACAAGCUUAAUCAAGACAGAUUGAGAAUGGUUAGUACAUGAUAGGGGGUGGAGACAGGUGAGGACCCAGCUGCCGUGUCGAUUGUGUCAAAUGCUUCAUUGAGCUUGAGCCUUAGAUAACAAAAGUCUUGUUUCAUCCUGUUUAAGCGUCCAUAAUUAGUGAUCUGUUGUAACCCAAGGAAAUCUGAACUUAUUAGAAUGCAAUACACAGACUUGUAGAUCCAACCUAAUUAGUAGAGAAAAUAGAAACCCAAACUGAUGGUAGAUAAGAUCAUACUGAUGGUUUUAUCCAAAAUAUGAGAAACACAAAUAUCAGUCCAGCAUACAUUUGACUAUGAAUCCUACUCAUCUAAGAUGCCCUUAAGGUUUCCCCCUCUCUCUUCCGAGCAGACAUGUAAGCAAAGGAGCGGGUUGCCAAUCGCGUUGUAGUGGGCAGCAAACCAAGCAACUGCACUACAACUUACUCAAAUCAGGUCGAUAAAUUGUUGUGGUUUUAUUUGCUAUUACACUGCCACAUGCCAAUACAAUUAACUAUAGACACAGUAACUGAAUUUUUUAGUGUUCAUUGUUUACACAAAUGCCAUCAUAACAAAACAAGCGAUACAAAGUUAAAGAGCGUUUGAGUUAGUUAAUUUCAAUCAAGUAGCAUAUAUACAUGCAUGCAUAUUUCUUGAAUUGAGUAACAUUCUGACAUGUGAUGCUCCCUCAAAGAUUAUGUUGCUUCAAGAUUGCCACUGGCAAGUCGAUCCACUACUUGUAAACAUGAAAGGUGUCAAAGCAUAUCAAUUUGUGCAUAGCAGUCCUUUGUCCUGCAGUUAAUUAGCUACUCACUUGUGUAUUAUUAUAACCCAAUCUUUGUUCAUUUAAGGACACAGCAGGACUCUGCGACAUAUGAUAGAUAUAUAGUCGCACAUCUGCCUGUUAUCACCAGCCAAAGAAAACACAAAUCAUGAACAUCUAACUCACAAUCAAAUACACUUGAAAGUGAACAAAAAAUGGCUUGCUGACCUUGCGGCGAAGAUGCCGGCGGCUAGGAGGUGAUCCAAGAGAAAGGGUGGUCAUCUUGCUUGCAAAUAUCUUCACAAUGACAGGCAA
RNAcentral lists this long non-coding RNA (5518 nucleotides) under Triticum aestivum (bread wheat). RNAcentral's name for it is "long non-coding RNA (TAES_LNC006427)". The record is from RNAcentral. Lineage: Eukaryota; Viridiplantae; Streptophyta; Magnoliopsida; Poales; Poaceae.